This 107-nucleotide small nuclear RNA is filed under the name Capra hircus (goat). The record is from RNAcentral. Lineage: Eukaryota; Metazoa; Chordata; Mammalia; Artiodactyla; Bovidae.
GUGCUCGCUUGGGCAGCACAUAUACUAACAUUGGAACGAUACAGAGAAGAUUAGCGUGGCCCCUGCGCAAGGAUGACACGCAAAUUCGUGAAGCGUUCCGUAUUUUC